RNAcentral lists this ribosomal RNA (342 nucleotides) under Bombyx mori (domestic silkworm). RNAcentral's name for it is "partial 12S ribosomal RNA". Lineage: Eukaryota; Metazoa; Arthropoda; Insecta; Lepidoptera; Bombycidae. The record is from RNAcentral.
UUAGAUACCCCACUAUUAAAAAUCUAAAUUGAGGAAGCGAAAAUAGUAUAUAAUUAUUUAUAAAAACAUAAAUAAUUUGGCGGUUUUUUAGUUUAUUUAGGGGAAUCUGUUCAUUAAUUGAUAUUCCAGGAAUAAAUUUUCUUAAUUUAUUUAAUUUUGUAUAUCGUUGUGAAAAAAAGACUGAAAAAUUAUAAUAAUAUUUUAAUUUUGAUAUUAAAAGUGAAAUCAGAUCAAGAUGUGUAUAAUAAUUAAGAAUAUAAUGGAUUACAAUAAAUCCAUUUAAUCGGAUGUUAUUUUUAGGAGUUGAUGGAAAUUCUAUUUGGUGUCAAUCUGACCUAAUUA